This 209-nucleotide ribosomal RNA is filed under the name Cedecea sp. P7760. Its description in RNAcentral is "partial 16S ribosomal RNA". It matches the Rfam family "Bacterial small subunit ribosomal RNA", at positions 46 to 252 of the family's 1533-position model. Lineage: Bacteria; Pseudomonadati; Pseudomonadota; Gammaproteobacteria; Enterobacterales; Enterobacteriaceae. The record is from RNAcentral.
GGCCUAACACAAGCAAGGCGAGCGGGAGCACAGGGAGCUUGCUCCGGGGUGACGAGCGGCGGACGGGAGAGUAAUGUCUGGGGAGCUGCCUGAGGGAGGGGGAUAACUACUGGAAACGGUAGCUAAUACCGAAUAACGGCGCAAGACCAAAGAGGGGGACCUUCGGGCCUCUUGCCAUCAGAUGAACCCAGAUGGGAUGAGCUAGUAGG